AGCAGUCGCCACGGGAAUACGUAGGGUGCAAGCGUUAAUCGGAAUUACUGGGCGUAAAGCGUGCGCAGGCGGUUUUGUAAGUUUGUCGUGAGAGCCCCGGGCUCAACCUGGGAAUUGCGAUGAAGACUGCAAGGCUUGAAUCUGGCAGAGAGGGGUAGAAUUCCACGUGUAGCAGUGAAAUGCGUAGAGAUGUGGAGGAACACCGAUGGCGAAGGCAGCCCCCUGGGUCAAGAUUGACGCUCAUGCACGAAAGCGUGGGGAGCAAACAGGAUUAGAUACCCCCGUAGUCCCUGUCUCUUAUAA
This 303-nucleotide ribosomal RNA is filed under the name uncultured bacterium. RNAcentral's name for it is "partial 16S ribosomal RNA". It matches the Rfam family "Bacterial small subunit ribosomal RNA", at positions 507 to 809 of the family's 1533-position model. The record is from RNAcentral.